CCGAGUGCGGGCCCUAUCCGGGUCCACCCUCCCACCCGUGUGUAUCGUACCUCGUUGCUUCGGCGGGCCCGCCGGCUAACCCCGGCCGCCGGGGGGUCCUAGUUGCCCCCGGGCCCGCUGCCCGCCGAAGACACCGUCGAACGCUUUGUCCGAAGGUUGCCGUCUGAGUUGGAUGAUCAAAAUCGUCA
This 188-nucleotide unclassified non-coding RNA is filed under the name uncultured Ascomycota. RNAcentral describes it as "sequence contains ITS1". The record is from RNAcentral. Lineage: Eukaryota; Fungi; Ascomycota.